This 799-nucleotide ribosomal RNA is filed under the name uncultured bacterium. Its description in RNAcentral is "bacterial SSU rRNA". It matches the Rfam family "Bacterial small subunit ribosomal RNA", at positions 8 to 807 of the family's 1533-position model. The record is from RNAcentral.
AGAGUUUGAUCCUGGCUCAGGAUGAACGCUGGCGGCGUGCUUAACACAUGCAAGUCGAACGGGAAUUACUUUAUUGAAACUUCGGUCGAUUUAAUUUAAUUCUAGUGGCGGACGGGUGAGUAACGCGUGGGUAACCUGCCUUAUACAGGGGGAUAACAGUCAGAAAUGGCUGCUAAUACCGCAUAAGCGCACAGAGCUGCAUGGCUCAGUGUGAAAAACUCCGGUGGUAUAAGAUGGACCCGCGUUGGAUUAGCUUGUUGGUGGGGUAACGGCCCACCAAGGCGACGAUCCAUAGCCGGCCUGAGAGGGUGAACGGCCACAUUGGGACUGAGACACGGCCCAGACUCCUACGGGAGGCAGCAGUGGGGAAUAUUGCACAAUGGGGGAAACCCUGAUGCAGCGACGCCGCGUGAAGGAAGAAGUAUCUCGGUAUGUAAACUUCUAUCAGCAGGGAAGAUAGUGACGGUACCUGACUAAGAAGCCCCGGCUAACUACGUGCCAGCAGCCGCGGUAAUACGUAGGGGGCAAGCGUUAUCCGGAUUUACUGGGUGUAAAGGGAGCGUAGACGGUGUGGCAAGUCUGAUGUGAAAGGCAUGGGCUCAACCUGUGGACUGCAUUGGAAACUGUCAUGCUUGAGUGCCGGAGGGGUAAGCGGAAUUCCUAGUGUAGCGGUGAAAUGCGUAGAUAUUAGGAGGAACACCAGUAGCGAAGGCGGCUUACUGGACGGUAACUGACGUUGAGGCUCGAAAGCGUGGGGAGCAAACCAGGAUUAGAUACCCUGGUAGUCCACGCCGUAAAC